Molecule: ribosomal RNA, 460 nt
Filed under: uncultured bacterium
Lineage: Bacteria
Description: partial 16S ribosomal RNA
Rfam family: Bacterial small subunit ribosomal RNA
Source: RNAcentral
CCUACGGGUGACAGCAGUGAGGAAUAUUGGUCAAUGGGCUUACGCCUGAACCAGCCAAGUCGCGUGAGGGAAGACUGCCCUCUGGGUUGUAAACCUCUUUUGUCAGGGAGCAACGCCGGCUACGUGUAGCCGGCCUGAGAGUACGUGCAGAAAAAGCAUCGGCUAACUCCGUGCAAGCAGCCGCGGUAAUACGGAGGAUGCGAGCUGUAUCCGGAUUUAUUGGGUUUAAAGGGUGCGUAGGCGGAAUGCCAAGUCAGCGGUAAAAUCGCGGGGCUCAACCUCGCUCCGACGUUGAAACUGGCGUUCUUGAGUGGACGAGAAGUAUGCGGAAUGCGUGGUGUAGCGGUGAAAUGCAUAGAUAUCACGCAGAACUCCGAUUGCGAAGGCAGCAUACCGGCGCCCAACUGACGCUGAAGCACGAAAGCGUGGGUAUCGAACAGGAUUAGAUACCCGGGUAGUC